UGAAAUGGAUUGACGCAGUGGUUGCAACAAUGUGCUCAAACACAGCAAUGAUUGUGAGGAUGGCACAGGACCGGGCAGUGUUUCUCUCUGUUGUAGACAGUGUCAGUAUGAGUGGAAACCGACUCAAUGGCACCUAACAACAGUACAUAGAGUGAGGUCUAGAACACAUAACAAAUAUGAUGUUGAUGCUCAGUUACUGGAUGAGUGAGGUGAUGUGUAUUUUUCUUUUUUUAGUUAAGUUACUGUGAUGGUUGAGAUUGUGUGUCAACUUGGCUGGGCCAUGAUUCUCUGUGUUUAUAUGUCACUCCCAUAAUGGAAUCUGCUGUGAGUAGCCAAUUGGUUGAAAGGGAGUUUCCUUGGGGGCGUGGCCUGCAUCCAAACACAAGCAGAGUUCUGGUUUUUUUGCUCACUGUGGGUCCUGCGCUGUCUCCUGUUCAUCUGACCUCUGGCUCUUGGGACUUGAGCUAUCAGCUUAUCUGCUAAUCUUGGAAUUUGUUGACCUUCACAGCCCCAGGGCAGAAGGCCCAAUCUCCAACCUGCCAAUCUUGAGUUCACCAGCCCCUGAGGCUAUGAGAAUUGAGAGAAGCCUCUAUCUUGACAUACGGAAUUGGGACGUUUCGGCCUCUACAAUCACGAUUUCUCCUGGCUUGCCUGACAUCAUCACAGGAGAGUUUCCCAACCAUGUGAAGAUGCAUCUGAGGAGCCUGAGAACCAUCCACAGAGGGGACACUUGUCGCUCGGUAUUCUGGAAACCCCUCAGCCACCUAAGCCCUGGAGGUCUUACUGCUUUUUCCAUAUACUGCCUAAAAUUUGCCUUUCAGAAGCAGCUGGAGAAAAACAGGCCCAGGGACAUGUGCAGAACAUCCACCUGUGACCGCUGUGUGACCUUCCAUCAGGGGCAGUGACGGCCUACAGCCCCAGCCAGGGAAUUGAACCUGGGAAGCAAGAGACUGCGCAGGCGUGACACCCCAUAAUAAGUCCUGCUAUGAACCCCAGAGGCCUCCAGGACAGGAGCCAUCUUGGGAAGCUGCUGCAGGCGCACCUUAGUUAACAUAUCCCUGCCUGUGGGUAUGAAUAAACAUGAAUCUUUCCCUACCCAAGAAAUUUAAAAAAUUCAGGCCCGUCUUUUGUUUUCAGAGAUGAGGGUAAGCGUUGCUCUAGGCGCUCCUCAUCUCCGCUUGCAAGCCUCUUCAAUAAAGCUUUGUU
Molecule: long non-coding RNA, 1206 nt
Organism: Loxodonta africana (African savanna elephant)
Lineage: Eukaryota; Metazoa; Chordata; Mammalia; Proboscidea; Elephantidae
Exons: 3
Source: RefSeq, a predicted model, not a curated record